GAAACUUAAAGGAAUUGGCGGGGGAGCACAGCAACGGGGUGGAGCGUGCGGUUUAAUUGGAUUCAACGCCGGAAAGCUCACCGGAGGCGACGGUUACAUGAGGGCCAGGCUGAUGACCUUGCCUAAUUUUCCGAGAAGUGGUGCAUGGCCGCCGUCAGUUCGUACCGUAAGGCGUUCUGUUAAGUCAGACAACGAACGAGACCCUCACCAUUAGUUGCAAUUUAUUCCUCAGGGAAUGGAGCACUCUAAUGGGACCGCUGGCGCUAAGUCAGAGGAAGGCGAGGGCAACGGUAGGUCAGUAUGCCCCGAAUCCUUCGGGCUACACGCGCGCUACAAAGGCUAGGACAAUGGGCUUCGACACCGAAAGGUGAAGGCAAUCCUGAAACCUAGUCGUAGUUCGGAUUGAGGAUUGAAACUCCUUCUCCUGAAAGCUGGAAUCCGUAGUAAUCGCGGGUCAACAUCCCGCGGUGAAUAUGCCCCUGCUCCUUGCACACACCGCCCGUCAAACCAUGCGAGUUGGGUUUAAGUGAGGAUGUAGUAUUUUGCUGCGUUCAAACUUAGGCUUAGCAAGCGGGGUUAAGUCGUAACAA
RNAcentral lists this ribosomal RNA (590 nucleotides) under uncultured euryarchaeote. RNAcentral's name for it is "bacterial SSU rRNA". It matches the Rfam family "Archaeal small subunit ribosomal RNA", at positions 851 to 1441 of the family's 1478-position model. The record is from RNAcentral. Lineage: Archaea; Methanobacteriati; Methanobacteriota.